GAUGAACGCUGGCGGCGUGCCUAAUACAUGCAAGUCGAGCGAACAGACGAGGAGCUUGCUCUUCUGACGUUAGCGGCGGACGGGUGAGUAACACGUGGAUAACCUACCUAUAAGACUGGGAUAACUUCGGGAAACCGGAGCUAAUACCGCAUAAUAUAUUAAACUGCAUGGUUCAAUAGUAAAAGACGGAUUUGCUGUACCAUCUAAUUGAAUCGGGGCCGAUUUACUAGUUGGUGAGGGAACCGGCUACCCAGGGCGCCAUUGCUUAGCCGCCCUGGGAGGGGGACCGCCCACACUGGACCUGAGACACGGCCCAGACUCCUACGGGAGGCAGCAGUAGGGAAUCUUCCGCAAGGGGCGAAGUCCGGACGGAGCAACGCGGCGGGAUUGAUGAAGUUCUUCGGAUCGUAAACCUCUGUUAUUAGGGAAGAACAAAGGUGUAAGUAACUAUGCACGCCUUGACGGUACCUAAUCAGAAAGCCACGGCUAACUACGUG
This 497-nucleotide ribosomal RNA is filed under the name uncultured bacterium. RNAcentral's name for it is "partial 16S ribosomal RNA". It matches the Rfam family "Bacterial small subunit ribosomal RNA", at positions 28 to 507 of the family's 1533-position model. The record is from RNAcentral.